RNAcentral lists this transfer RNA (72 nucleotides) under Salmo salar (Atlantic salmon). It matches the Rfam family "tRNA". From Rfam's summary of the family: Transfer RNA (tRNA) molecules are approximately 80 nucleotides in length. Their secondary structure includes four short double-helical elements and three loops (D, anti-codon, and T loops). Lineage: Eukaryota; Metazoa; Chordata; Actinopteri; Salmoniformes; Salmonidae. The record is from Rfam by way of RNAcentral.
CUCCCUGUGGCUCAGUUGGUAGAGCAUGGUGUUUGCAAUGCCAGGAUUGUGGGUUCGAUUCCCACGGGGAGC